Molecule: ribosomal RNA, 1148 nt
Filed under: uncultured organism
Description: bacterial SSU rRNA
Rfam family: Bacterial small subunit ribosomal RNA
Source: RNAcentral
AACACGUAAGAAACCUGCCCCUAAAUCCGGAAUAACAUUGCUAACGCGGUGCUAAUACCGGAUGUGGUCUCCAGUUUGCAUGAACAGGAGAUUAAAGGUGACCUCUACUUGUAAGUUAUCGUUUAGGGAUGGUCUUGCGGACCAUUAGCUUGUUGGCGGGGUAACGGCCCACCAAGGCUGCGAUGGUUAGCCGGCUUAAGAGGGUGAUCGGCCACAUUGGGACUGAGAUACGGCCCAGACUCCUACGGGAGGCAGCAGUAGGGAAUUUUGCGCAAUGGACGAAAGUCUGACGCAGCAACGCCGCGUGAGCGAUGAAGGUUUUCGGAUUGUAAAGCUCUGUUGAGUGGGAAGAAAACUCUCCGGGAUAAUACCCCGGAGACUUGACGGUACCACUCGAGGAAGCCCCGGCUAAAUACGUGCCAGCAGCCGCGGUAAUACGUAUGGGGCAAGCGUUGUUCGGAAUCACUGGGCGUAAAGGGAGUGUAGGCGGAAAGGUAAGUUAGAAGUGUAAUCCACGGGCUUAACCCGUGACUCGCUUUUAAUACUGCUUUUCUUGAGUAUGGGAGAGGGAGAUGGAAUUCCAGGUGUAGCGGUGGAAUGCGUAGAUAUCUGGAAGAACACCAGUAGCGAAGGCGGUCUCCUGGCCCAAUACUGACGCUGAGGCUCGAAAGCGUGGGGAGCGAACAGGAUUAGAUACCCUGGUAGUCCGCGCCGUAAACGAUGGACACUAGAUGUUGGCCUCUUCGGGGGUCGGUGUCGUAGCUAACGCGUUAAGUGUCCCGCCUGGGAAGUACGCUCGCAAGAGUGAAACUCAAAGGAAUUGACGGGGGCCCGCACAAGCGGUGGAGCAUGUGCUUUAAUUCGAUGCAACGCGAAGAACCUUACCUGGACUUGACAUGGGGGUGAAAGUUUUCAGAGAUGAAAACCCUUCCUUCGGGAACGCCCUACACAGGUGCUGCAUGGUUGUCGUCAGCUCGUGUCGUGAGAUGUUGGGUUAAGUCCCGCAACGAGCGCAACCCUUGUCGUUAGUUGUCAGCGGGUCAUGCCGGGAAAUCUAGGGAGACUGCCUGGUACAUCCAGGAGGAAGGGGGGCAUGACAUCCAAUCAUCAUGUCCCUUACGUCCAGGGCUAGACUCCUUUUACAAUGG